CCUACGGGAGGCAGCAGUGGGGAAUAUUGCACAAUGGGGGAAACCCUGAUGCAGCGACGCCGCGUGAGUGAAGAAGUAAUUCGUUAUGUAAAGCUCUAUCAGCAGGGAAGAAAAUGACGGUACCCGAGUAAGAAGCUCCGGCUAACUACGUGCCAGCAGCCGCGGCAAUACGUAGGGGGCAAGCGUUAUCCGGAUUUACUGGGUGUAAAGGGAGCGUAGGCGGAAGGGCAAGUCUGGAGUGAAAGGCGGGGGCUCAACCCCCGGACUGCUCUGGAAACUGUACGGCUGGAGUGCAGGAGAGGUAAGUGGAAUUCCUGGUGUAGCGGUGAAAUGCGUAGAUAUUAGGAGGAACACCAGUGGCGAAGGCGGCUUACUGGACUGUAACUGACGUUGAGGCUCGAAAGCGUGGGGAGCAAACAGGAUUAGAUACCCCAGUAGUC
This 440-nucleotide ribosomal RNA is filed under the name uncultured bacterium. RNAcentral's name for it is "partial 16S ribosomal RNA". It matches the Rfam family "Bacterial small subunit ribosomal RNA", at positions 338 to 795 of the family's 1533-position model. The record is from RNAcentral.